Molecule: small nucleolar RNA, 134 nt
Filed under: Castor canadensis (American beaver)
Lineage: Eukaryota; Metazoa; Chordata; Mammalia; Rodentia; Castoridae
Description: Small nucleolar RNA SNORA42/SNORA80 family (ENSCCNG00000012252.1)
Rfam family: Small nucleolar RNA SNORA42/SNORA80 family
About the family: The members of this family belong to the H/ACA class of snoRNAs that guide the sites of modification of uridines to pseudouridines.
Source: Rfam by way of RNAcentral
ACAUAGUGAUGAAUUUAUGGCAGACCCUUCUCUGUGGGCCUCUCAGAGUAUACCUAUACCAGAGUGAAAUGUAGCCUCAAACCAUUGCCCAGUCUUCUUGCUUGUGGGCUGUGAGCAAUGAAGGUUAUACAAUU